Molecule: non-coding RNA, 127 nt
Organism: Myotis lucifugus (little brown bat)
Lineage: Eukaryota; Metazoa; Chordata; Mammalia; Chiroptera; Vespertilionidae
Source: Rfam
CAUGCACCGGUGGGGUCCCUCGGCCUGGCCUGCGGGGAUCAGGCUGAAACUGGCUCGCCAACAUCCCCUGAGGGAUCCUGGAUUUUGAGAGGGCACAGGCCAGGCUGAGGGACCUCACCGGUGCACG